AUACGGAGGGUGCAAGCGUUACGCGGAAUCACUGGGCGUAAAGCGCGCGCAGGCGGCUAUUUAAGUUGGAUGUGAAAGCCUACGGCUCAACCGUAGAACUGCAUCCAAAACUAUUUAGCUAGAGUGUGGGAGAGGAAGAUGGAAUUAGUUGUGUAGGGGUAAAAUCCGUAGAGAUAACUAGGAAUACCAAAAGCGAAGGCAAUCUUCUGGAACACUACUGACGCUGAGGCGCGAAAGCGUGGGGAGCAAACGGGAUUAGAAACCCUAGUAGUCC
This 274-nucleotide ribosomal RNA is filed under the name uncultured bacterium. Its description in RNAcentral is "partial 16S ribosomal RNA". It matches the Rfam family "Bacterial small subunit ribosomal RNA", at positions 523 to 796 of the family's 1533-position model. The record is from RNAcentral.